UAGCUACGGCGAGUGAGAGGGAAGAGCCCAAGAUUGAAAGCUGGCGUCUUCGGCGUCCGCAUUGUAAUCUCAAGAAGUGUUUUCCGCUUCGGACCAUGCCUAAGUCCCUUGGAAAAGGGCAUCAUAGAGGGUGAUAAUCCCGUACAUGGCAUGGAGCGCCCGAAGCUUUGUGAUACGCUUUCUAAGAGUCGAGUUGUUUGGGAAUGCAGCUCAAAAUGGGUGGUAAAUGCCAUCUAAGGCUAAAUAUUGGGGAGAGACCGAUAGCGAACAAGUACAGUGAUGGAAAGAUGAAAAGAACUUUGAAAAGAGAGUUAAACAGUACGUGAAAUUGCCAAAAGGGAAGGGUAGGAGGUCAGAGAUGCGGCCUGGGAUUCAGCCUUGCUUUUGCUUGGUGUUUUUCCCAGAUUGCAGGCCAACGUCGGUUUUGGGCACUGGAGAAGGGUAGGAGGAACGUGGCACCUCUCGGGGUGUGUUAUAGCCUCCUACUGGAUACAGCGACCGAGACCGAGGACAGCAGCGUACUCGCAAGAGCGGGCCUUCGGGCACCUUUACGCUUAGGGCGUUGGCAUAAUGGCCCUCUACCACCCGUCUUGA
RNAcentral lists this ribosomal RNA (594 nucleotides) under uncultured Pseudozyma. RNAcentral's name for it is "eukaryotic LSU rRNA". It matches the Rfam family "Eukaryotic large subunit ribosomal RNA", at positions 81 to 657 of the family's 3401-position model. The record is from RNAcentral. Lineage: Eukaryota; Fungi; Basidiomycota; Ustilaginomycetes; Ustilaginales; Ustilaginaceae.